CAAGGGGUUCUAACGUGCAAAUCGAUGGUCAAAAUUGGGCAAAGGGCGAAAGNCUAAUCGAACCCCCCUGGUANCUGGUUCCUGCCGAAGUUNCCCCCAGGAUAGCAGUACGUCUUCAGUUUUAUGAGGUAAAGCGAAUGUUUAGUGGUAAGGGGACUAUAACAGUCUUCACCAAUUCACAAACUUUAAAUAUGUAAGAAGUCCUUGUUACUUAACUGAACGUGGACAUUUGAAUGUAUCGUUACUAGUGGGCCAUUUUUGGUAAGCAGAACUGGCGAUGCGGGAUGAACCGAACGUGAGGUUAAGGUGCCGGAAUGCACGCUCAUCAGACACCACAAAAGGUGUCAAUGCAUCUAGACAGUCGGACGGUGGCCAUGGAAGUCGGAAUCCGCUUAGGAGUGUGUAACAACUCACCGACCGAAUGCAUUGGCCCUGAAAAUGGAUGGCGCUUAAGCGUGCUACCUAUACCUCGCCGUUGGGGUUGAAAUGAUGCCCCAACGAGUAGGCAGGCGUGGAGGUU
Molecule: ribosomal RNA, 520 nt
Filed under: Psoroglaena stigonemoides
Lineage: Eukaryota; Fungi; Ascomycota; Eurotiomycetes; Verrucariales; Verrucariaceae
Description: eukaryotic LSU rRNA
Rfam family: Eukaryotic large subunit ribosomal RNA
Source: RNAcentral